GCCCGGAUGGCGGAACUGGCAGACGCACGGGACUCAAAAUCCCGCGAGGGCAACCUCAUGUGGGUUCGAUCCCCACUCUGGGCA
RNAcentral lists this transfer RNA (84 nucleotides) under Gemmatimonadaceae bacterium. RNAcentral describes it as "tRNA-Leu". It matches the Rfam family "tRNA". Rfam says of the family: Transfer RNA (tRNA) molecules are approximately 80 nucleotides in length. Their secondary structure includes four short double-helical elements and three loops (D, anti-codon, and T loops). The record is from RNAcentral. Lineage: Bacteria; Pseudomonadati; Gemmatimonadota; Gemmatimonadia; Gemmatimonadales; Gemmatimonadaceae. RNAcentral also lists the same sequence under 2 other names.